ACAUCACCAUACCUGGCCCCUCCUUGCUUAUAUCAGAAAAUCUACUGAGAUACAGAGUAUUUUGUAGGGCCCAGUGAUCAUAUUUCAGGAUUGUUUUUCUUCAUUCGUCCCAUACUUACUUGUAUCUCCAGUACAGUAAGUCCCCAACAUACGAAUGAAUUCUGUUCUGGGAGAAUUAUUUGUAAGUCGGACUUGUUUGUAGGCUGACAAACUGAGUCUUAGACAUUACACCUGUGAAAGUUCACAGCUCGAAGGUUCGUAAGUCAGGGACUUACUGUAUCCACCACCCCCACUUUGUGGUGCUAGGGAUUAAAUCCAGGGCCUUCACCCUGAGGUAUAUUCCCAGCCCUUUUUUAUUUUUAGACAGCCUUGCUGAGGCAGGAGGAUCCAGGUUCAAGCCCAGCCUGGGCAAUGUGUUGACUUAGCAAGAAAGACCUUGUCUCACAAUUUAAAAAAAAAAAUUUCAAGAAGAGAGGUUGGGGGGAUUUAGCUUAGUGGUUCCGCCGCCUGCCUUGCAAGCGGAAGGACCCAAGUUCGAUCCCUGGUACCAAAAAAAAAGAAGGGCCAGGAAUGUAUUCUAGCGUAAAGUCCCUGGGUUCAAUGCCCAGUAAAAGAAAAAAGAAAAAAAAAAAAGAGAAAUUGAGAGAAAGAAAAACCUUUGCAUUGAUAUCUAGCCCCGUCAAAGCAAUCUAUAAAAUACUUGCCAUCUGGAAGAAGUUUGACUAAUUCUAAUUUUGAAAUAUAAAACCACAGUUUAACAAGAGCCCUAGUUUGCUGCCACCUCCGCAAUGUCCUUGUCCUUGUUUUCAAGGGAGACCUCUCUGGCUGGUGAGAUAAAAGUAUAUGUAUAUUUUUAUUUAUAUUUCUUUCUAGGUACUUAAACCCUCCCCAGUACUGUAUUAGAAGGGUGUCAUGAACUUGUUCAGCCCUGUACAGAUUAGAAGCUUGUUGCUGGCUGCAGCCUAUGGCCAUCAUUGAUUCUACUCACUGGGGCUCCCAAAACUGCUGAUGCCAUAGUGAUACCAGAGCGCCACCUGUACCACGUGACCUCAGUUAACAGGAAGCAGGAGGCUGUGCUAACAGGUUUUUCCAGGAGUGGGUGGUCAUGAAUAGAACCCUAUUAAAUGGGAAGGCCAUUUAAUAGACCCCUUUGUGCCUCAAAAGCUUUAAUGUGUUACCUAAGAAGCUAACAGAAGUGCCUAGGUAAGGAAAGUUUCCCAAAAUGCAAAGGAAAAUCCAAUUUCACUUAUUUGAUUGUGGUUUUAAUUGGAACAUUAGGAUGUGGGUUAAAUUACUUGAGGGUCAGCUAAGAAGAUCAUUGCAAUCUAGUGAAG
This 1334-nucleotide long non-coding RNA is filed under the name Heterocephalus glaber (naked mole-rat). Its description in RNAcentral is "lncRNA (ENSHGLG00100041261.1)". Lineage: Eukaryota; Metazoa; Chordata; Mammalia; Rodentia; Bathyergidae. The record is from RNAcentral.